AGUUGGGUGAGUAGGUUUGCCGGUUUGGGACCGAAGCGUGUUCUGGUGUUGCGCUGAUAAUCCCUGAUACUCACCGCUAUAGUGCCAACCCAGACGCACGACUACGUUGAAAAAUUGACAUGGUGUAUGGUGUAAAAUUAAUAAACUCUUUUUCAUUGACAGGAGACGUUAGUCUGUAACCACCAGUCAUUCAACGUUUUCUUAGUGUUUACUGUUUAAAAUGGUGGUAAAAUAUUGUUGUGUCACCGGUUGUUCAAAUACUAGCCUACUUAAGACUUGAAUUCGAUUGAAUUGAACACGAGGGAGCUGCCAACACCAUUAAGCGUAUGGUGUUGGAAGAGAGCUGGUUGAAUGGAUUGAAGAGGGAUGGAAGAGAGCCGUUGCUUUAGUCAAGAACGUCACCCAGCAUAAGGAGUGUGUUCCAUUCCGUCGUUAAUGGUUAAACAACGGAGGUGUUGGCCGGUGUGCCUCAGGCUAACAAUUGGGUACCAUUCAGGGAUGUUUUCCCAAGAAGUCUCCCAGAGUUCCUUCUGCCAUACAUGAGCAGCCCUUGCCACACAGAAGUCAUCCUGCCUGAGAAGGAAGACAUUGUUCCUAAAGUCAAGAAGGAGGAAUUUACCAAAAAAAAGAAGGUUUUAAAGAAAAAGUUGGCUCACCAAAAGUUGUUGGGAAUAAACUUUUCCUGUUAACACUUUGUUAACCCUUUGUGUUUGAAAUACAACGUUGGUGACGCUCGAAAUAAAAUAGUUAUUUUCUGUUUACCAUGAUAAUUAUAUUUAUUACGAUUGACAACGAACGGUUAAAAUAAUUGUAUUCUGAAUUCAAUUUAAGGUCGUCUUCUGGUAGGAAGCCUGGAGAUAACAUUAAAGCAAAAAAAAGUAUUCAAUCAAGGAAAAAGAAAUAGGCUACCUCAAGUGAAGUAAAUAUGACAUCAAGUUCAAACAUUCAAACAAUAAGCAUGCAUAAAAAUGAUAUCAAAGUAUCAAACUCUUAGUCCGAUUGGGAAAGAUGCGUAUCCCGUGCGCAUCUGACUGAAUCUUUUUCAUUUUAAUUUUUCUAUGAUAGAAGCUUCGGAUUGAAUAGAUCCCAUAUAUUGCAUCAUUAGAUGCGAUGGGUCACGAGGAUUCGAAAAAUCUUAAUAAAUAAUGAAUAGUAGGAAAUUUCCUGAAUAGUAGGAAAAAUGGAAUAUUUAAAAAGUAGUUAAAAAAACGAAUAAAAAACUCAGAAAAGCGGCCACAAUUCUUUGUUUUUUAUUCGUUCAGGCCGAAUCGUACGGUUACGUUACCUAUCUAAAAACUACACAAUUAAUCAGUCUUGUCAAAAACGUCUCUGCUCUAGCUCAUAUCAACACCCAACUGAAUAUCUCAAUUAAAUUAACUAACAGUAACAAAACAAAAAAUAAAAAACAGUUUGAUAAUCACAUCAUCGUCGUCCUCAAGAAAUCGCCAUCACAGAUCACAAACAGCCAAACAAUCGAAAGAUCAAAACCCCGUUCUGUGUUGAGAGAUGAGAGCAAGGGUAGUAAGAGUCAGCGAGGGAUGAAGUUGACAAGCCGUUGGUUCCAGGGUAGUCGAAUUAAACUGGCCGCGUAGGUAACUAGAGCAGGCACAACUCCCCCAUGCCUCGAGGCGACGGAAGGAUGGCACGCAUGUGAAUUAAUCUUUUUCUUUUCUUUUUCCCAGCAGAAUUGCUUCAGUUGCAAGAUUUAGACAAACUUUGACGUUUAGACGAUACCUGCUCGCCAUUUGAAGUCGAUUUACGUUCAGACAUAUUGCCUAAUGUGUGCCUACACUCCUACUCCUUCACUUCCUACGCCUGCACCCUGCAGAUCCUAGGCUAGCAUAGUGAGAUCUUUAUUUUACUAAGAGAUGGCGCCUGCUUGGGUUGGCCCGCGGACCUGACAAUUUUAUAGAAAUAUAAUACCAACACUUGCUUGAGGUUACUUUAAAAAACAAUGUAUAAAUCCAUUUAAAAAAAUAUCAAAACAAAUAAGAUAAACAUUUGGGGCAUUUUCACUAUGUCUUUUAUUAAGAAUUUUUAUCUCAAAUCUAUUUAAUUAUAUAAAAAACGUUAUGAAGAUGGGGCUCCUCCAGUUUGAGAUAAAUGUUUGAUAACGUCAACCCAAUCAUAACCCCUUAUUUUUUCUCCCUUACCAUCCAUUCGAUCCCACUGUCGUCUUUUUUGUGCUUUGGUAAGACCAGAACGGCGUUCUUUAUUGUCUUUGCACAAGUGUUCAACCUUGGAAAAAAUUUUUUGAAUUAUUUGCAGAAACAUACUGUAAUAUUAGACAAAUACUUUUACCUUCUCUUCAAUAUCUAAAUUGGCAAGAUUAAGAGAUGCAUCCAUAGUUGAAGGUUGGUCAACCAUUAAUUCUUCUAAGUUUUCUUUCACCCAUUCAAUUAGUGUGUAGGUCAUAGCUGAACCAAUAUUAACAUCUGCUUCUUUUAACACCUUUGAUCUAAUAUCUUCUUUCACACGAGUUUUCCUGAUGAGUAAUUUUAGCAGUUAUUUACCUGCAUACUUUAAUGGAAUGACUACAUCUUACAUGUGUUUGUUGUAAAAAGCAUCCAUAUUGAUGACAGGCAAAGUUUCUGGGUAUGAUUCUGGCCAGCUAAUUUCAAACACAAAGGAAUGAGGAUCACCUUCUGUCCCAUACUAUGGAAAAGGUGAAUGGACAAAAAGAAAAAUUAAAUUACACACAUUUCCACGUAAAAUUUUUUUGUUUUCUAUAACAAACUCAAUCCUACCUUACCUUGCAGGAUUAAAGAUAAUUCACCAUUCAACAUAAUUAAUUAAAAUGAUCUACAGUAUUUUGAAAAACAAAAAUCUUUUUGCCAAAAUUAUUUUUUACCUUAUACUGGAAUGACUUGGGACUCAAUUCCCUAAAAUUCCCAUCUCCUUCAUAAAUGGAUCUGAGGACUUCCAGUUCCUCUUCUUGAUUUUCGGAAUUCAUCUUAGUUAUAACCUA
This 2968-nucleotide long non-coding RNA is filed under the name Daphnia pulex (common water flea). RNAcentral describes it as "uncharacterized LOC124210064". Lineage: Eukaryota; Metazoa; Arthropoda; Branchiopoda; Diplostraca; Daphniidae. The record is from RNAcentral.